AAAUCCUCACUUCUGGAAGGGAUGUAUUUAUUAGAUUAAAAACCAAUGCGAAUCUUCGGGUUCGUUUUCUUGGUGAUUCAUGAUAACUUUUCGAAUCGCAUGGCCUCGCGCCGGCGAUAUUUCAUUCAAAUUUCUGCCCUAUCAACUGUCGAUGGUAAGGUAGUGGCUUACCAUGGUUAUAACGGGUGACGGAGAAUUAGGGUUCGAUUCCGGAGAGGGAGCCUGAGAAACGGCUACCACAUCUAAGGAAGGCAGCAGGCUCGAAAAUUACCCAAUCCCGACUCGGGGAGGUAGUGACAAGAAAUAACGAUACGGGGUCUUAAUAGGUCUCGCAAUUGGAAUGAGUACAAUUUAAAUCCUUUAACGAGGAUCAAUUGGAGGGCAAGUCUGGUGCCAGCAGCCGCGGUAAUUCCAGCUCCAAUAGCGUAUAUUAAAGUUGUUGCAGUUAAAAAGCUCGUAGUUGGAUUUCGGAGUGGGCCAGUUGGUCCGCCGCAAGGUGUGUUACUGACUGGUUUGCUCUUCUUCGCAUAGACUGCGUGUGCUCUUUAUUGAGUGUGCGUAGGACAUGCGACGUUUACUUUGAAAAAAUUAGAGUGUUCAAAGCAGGCUAUUGCUUGAAUACAUGAGCAUGGAAUAAUGGAAUAGGACUUUGGUCCCAUUUUGUUGGUUUCUAGGACCGAAGUAAUGAUUAAGAGGGACAAUUGGGGGCAUCCGUAUUUCGUUGUCAGAGGUGAAAUUCUUGGAUUUACGAAAGACGAACAACUGCGAAAGCACUUGCCAAGAGUGUUUUCAUUAAUCAAGAACGAAAGUUAGAGGAUCGAAGACGAUCAGAUACCGUCCUAGUUCUAACCAUAAACGAUGUCGACUAGGGAUCAGCGGGCGUUAUCGUACGACCCCGUUGGCACCUUACGGGAAACCAAAGUUUCUGGAUUCCGGGGGAAGUAUAGUCGCAAGUCCGAAACUUAAAGGAAUUGACGGAAGGGCACCACCAGGAGUGGAGCCUG
Molecule: ribosomal RNA, 1004 nt
Filed under: marine metagenome
Description: SSU rRNA
Rfam family: Eukaryotic small subunit ribosomal RNA
Source: RNAcentral